AGAAUCAACGCUGGCGGCGUGCCUAACACAUGCAAGUCGAACGAGAAAAUGGUAGCAAUACCAUGAGUAAAGUGGCGCACGGGUGAGUAACACGUGACUAACCUACCCUUGAGUGGGGGAUAACUGAGGGAAACCUUAGCUAAUACCGCAUAAUACCCACGGGUCAAAGGAGCAAUUCGCUCGAGGAGGGGGUCGCGGCCGAUUAGUUAGUUGGCGGGGUAAUGGCCCACCAAGACGAUGAUCGGUAUCCGGCCUGAGAGGGCGCACGGACACACUGGAACUGAAACACGGUCCAGACUCCUACGGGAGGCAGCAGUGGGAAUUUGCGCAAUGGGGGAAACCCUGACGCAGCAACGCCGCGUGGAGGAUGAAGUCCUUCGGGACGUAAACUCCUUCGAUCGGGACGAUUAUGACGGUACCGGAAGAGAAGCCCCGGCUAACUUCGUGCCAGCAGCCGC
RNAcentral lists this ribosomal RNA (458 nucleotides) under uncultured bacterium. RNAcentral describes it as "SSU rRNA". It matches the Rfam family "Bacterial small subunit ribosomal RNA", at positions 26 to 518 of the family's 1533-position model. The record is from RNAcentral.